UGGGGAAUAUUGCACAAUGGGCGCAAGCCUGAUGCAGCCAUGCCGCGUGUGUGAAGAAGGCCUUCGGGUUGUAAAGCACUUUCAGCGAGGAGGAAGGUGGUGAACUUAAUACGUUCAUCAAUUGACGUUACUCGCAGAAGAAGCACCGGCUAACUCCGUGCCAGCAGCCGCGGUAAUACGGAGGGUGCAAGCGUUAAUCGGAAUUACUGGGCGUAAAGCGCACGCAGGCGGUUUGUUAAGUCAGAUGUGAAAUCCCCGGGCUCAACCUGGGAACUGCAUUUGAAACUGGCAAGCUAGAGUCUCGUAGAGGGGGGUAGAAUUCCAGGUGUAGCGGUGAAGUGCGUAGAGAUCUGGAGGAAUACCGGUGGCGAAGGCGGCCCCCUGGACGAAGACUGACGCUCAGGUGCGAAAGCGUGGGGAGCAAAACAGGAUUAGAUACCCUGGUAGUCCACGCUGUAAACGAUGUCGAUUUUGGAGGUUGUGCCCUUGAGGCGUGGCUUCCGGAGCUAACGCGUUAAUCGACCGCCUGGGGAGUACGGCCGCAAGGUUAAAACUCAAAGGAAUUGACGGGGUCAUAGCUGUUUCCUG
This 588-nucleotide ribosomal RNA is filed under the name uncultured bacterium. RNAcentral describes it as "partial 16S ribosomal RNA". It matches the Rfam family "Bacterial small subunit ribosomal RNA", at positions 355 to 1376 of the family's 1533-position model. The record is from RNAcentral.